This 148-nucleotide non-coding RNA is filed under the name Pan troglodytes (chimpanzee). The record is from Rfam by way of RNAcentral. Lineage: Eukaryota; Metazoa; Chordata; Mammalia; Primates; Hominidae.
GCUGGGCGUGGUGGCGCGCACCUGUAAUCCCAGCUACUUAGGAGGCUGAGGCAGGAGAAUGGCUUGAACCCAGGAGGCAGAGGUUGCAGUGAGCUGAGAUUGUGCCACUGUACUCCAGCCUGGGUGACAGAGUGAGACUCUGUCUCAA